RNAcentral lists this ribosomal RNA (253 nucleotides) under uncultured bacterium. RNAcentral describes it as "partial 16S ribosomal RNA". It matches the Rfam family "Bacterial small subunit ribosomal RNA", at positions 524 to 776 of the family's 1533-position model. The record is from RNAcentral.
UACGGGGGGGGCAAGCGUUGUUCGGAAUUACUGGGCGUAAAGGGCGCGUGGGCGGGUGGACAAGUCUCUCGUGAAAGCCCACGGCUCAACCGUGGAAUUGCGGGAGAUACUGUCUGUCUUGAGUCCGGGAGAGGAGGGUGGAAUUCCCAGUGUGGCGGUGAAAUGCGUAGAUAUUGGGAGGAACCCCGGUGGCGAAGGCGGCUCUCUGGCCCGGUACUGACGCUGAGGCGCGAAAGCUAGGGGAGCAAACGGG